UACAGCCUACGGGAGGCAGCAGUAGGGAAUUUUCGUCAAUGGGCGCAAGCCUGAACGAGCAAUGCCGCGUGAACGAGGAAGGUCUUCGGAUCGUAAAGUUCUGUUGAAGGGGAAAAAGAGCGGAGAGAGGAAAUGAACUCCGAUUGAUAUUACCCUUCGAGGAAGUCACGGCUAACUACGUGCCAGCAGCCGCGGUAAUACGUAGGUGGCGAGCGUUAUCCGGAAUGAUUGGGCGUAAAGGGUGCGUAGGCGGCCUGCUAAGUCUGGAGUGAAAGGUACCGGCUCAACCGGUACCGGC
RNAcentral lists this ribosomal RNA (298 nucleotides) under uncultured bacterium. RNAcentral's name for it is "partial 16S ribosomal RNA". It matches the Rfam family "Bacterial small subunit ribosomal RNA", at positions 334 to 624 of the family's 1533-position model. The record is from RNAcentral.